GAUGAACGCUGGCGGCGUGCCUAAUACAUGCAAGUCGAGCGAACAGACGAGGAGCUUGCUCCUCUGACGUUAGCGGCGGACGGGUGAGUAACACGUGGAUAACCUACCUAUAAGACUGGGAUAACUUCGGGAAACCGGAGCUAAUACCGUAUAAUAUAUUGAACCGCAUGGUUCAAUAGUAAAAUACGGUUUUGCUGUCACUUAUAGAUGGAUCCGCGCCGCAUUAGCUGGUUGGUAAGUUAACGGCUUACCAAGGCAACGAUGCGUAGCCGACCUGAGAGGGUGAUCGGCCACACUGGAACUGAGACACGGUCCAGACUACUACGGGAGGCAGCAGUAGGGAAUCUUCCGCAAUGGGCGAAAGCCUGACGGAGCAACGCCGCGUGAGUGAUGAAGGUCUUCGGAUCGUAAAACUCUGUUAUUAGGGAAGAACAAAUGUGUAAGUAACUAUGCACGUCUUGACGGUACCUAAUCAGAAAGCAACGGCUAACUACGUG
This 497-nucleotide ribosomal RNA is filed under the name uncultured bacterium. RNAcentral describes it as "partial 16S ribosomal RNA". It matches the Rfam family "Bacterial small subunit ribosomal RNA", at positions 28 to 507 of the family's 1533-position model. The record is from RNAcentral.